RNAcentral lists this ribosomal RNA (422 nucleotides) under uncultured bacterium. Its description in RNAcentral is "partial 16S ribosomal RNA". It matches the Rfam family "Bacterial small subunit ribosomal RNA", at positions 361 to 775 of the family's 1533-position model. The record is from RNAcentral.
AUAUUGAACAGUGUGGGGAACCAUGAUCCAGCCAUGCCCCGGGUGUGAAUAAGGUUUUCGGAUUGUAAAGCACUUUAAGCUGGUAGGAAGGGCUUUAUGUCAAUACCCGGAUGUUUCGUCGUUAUUAACAGAAUAAGCACCGGCUAACUCUGUGCCAGCAUCCGCGGUAAUACAGAGGGUGCAAGCGUUAAUCGUAAUUACUGGGCGUAAAGCGCGCGUAGGUGGUUCAGUAAGAUGGAUGUGAAAUCCCCGGGAUUAAACUGGGAACUGCUUUCAUAACUGCUGAGCUAGAGUACGGUACAGGGUAGUCGAAUUUCCUGUGUAGCGGUGAAAUGCGUAGAUAUAGGAAGGAACACCAGUGGCGAAGGCGACCACCUGGGCUAAUACUGACACUGAGGUGCGAAAGCGUGGGGAGCAAACAG